RNAcentral lists this unclassified non-coding RNA (568 nucleotides) under Hevea brasiliensis (rubber tree). The record is from RNAcentral. Lineage: Eukaryota; Viridiplantae; Streptophyta; Magnoliopsida; Malpighiales; Euphorbiaceae.
ACCAUGUAAAACCACAGGCAUGAAUCACCCAUUGGAAAACUACAUAGAGACAACUCCACUGCACAAAAUAUGCGAGCCGGAACCAAGGGAAUGGAAGGCUGUUUAGAGCAGUAUCGAGCAAAAGAAAAGCAGCAUUCAGAGUGUGCAUGCAACCCAUCAGCACAUUGAGUCCAAGAUGAGCAUUUGAUCCAAAUGGGACAAUAAUACACCAAAAUAUUACGUCUGUUAGGAUGACAGCACCUGCACAAGUCUGAAAAAUUGUUUGCAUAAGAUAUCCCCAAAAUCCAGCUCUUAGCCUAAUUGCCUCUUCUGCAUAGUGACUUUGCAACUUUAUAGUUCCCUUAAUUUCUUUCUUCCUAAGAGUUGUAGAGUUUGUAGUUUCAUUAUCUUCCACGUCCGUUCUCAAGAAUCCAGCAGUUUCCUCAUUUUCAGAAGGAAGUUGCUUUGAUACCAACCAACACCCAUACCCAGAUAUUACAGUGGCAAGCUACAUAGAGAAACCAAUACAUGUAAACUACCAACACACUCAUCUAGAUGGGGAUUGAAUCAAUACAAUGCAUUUCACAUA